CUUCCUACGGGAGGCAGCAGUGGGGGAUAUUGCACAAUGGGGGGAACCCUGAUGCAGCGACGCCGCGUGGGUGAAGAAGCGCCUCGGCGCGUAAAGCCCUGUCAGCAGGGAAGAAAAUGACGGUACCUGAAGAAGAAGCCCCGGCUAACUACGUGCCAGCAGCCGCGGUAAUACGUAGGGGGCAAGCGUUAUCCGGAUUUACUGGGUGUAAAGGGGGCGCAGACGGCGAUGCAAGCGAGGAGUGAAAGACCGGGGCACAACACCGGGACUGUUCUCGGAAGUGCGUGGUUGGAGUGUAGGAGGGG
This 305-nucleotide ribosomal RNA is filed under the name uncultured bacterium. Its description in RNAcentral is "bacterial SSU rRNA". It matches the Rfam family "Bacterial small subunit ribosomal RNA", at positions 335 to 657 of the family's 1533-position model. The record is from RNAcentral.